UCCGGCCCCGGCCCCUCACCCUCGCAUUGCGGAUGUUCAUAAUGGCGGCGGGGCUUGCGGCUCCCAGCCGGUCGUGAACGCGCAGUCAGCAGCCACCGCACUCUGACGUGCUCUGAAGCGACGCCGGGGCUGCCAGGCCAGGGCUGGGGCUGGGGCUGGAGCGGGAGCGGGGGCUGGGGCUGGAGCUGGAGCUGGGUCCGGAAUCGCGGGGACGGCAGCGGAAGAGGCGGCGCGCCAACAGCUUUUGCGGAAACAGGCUCCACAUAUGAAGUGUGACUAACCUCAGACCACCAAGCUGUGAGAAGUCCAGGCCCCAUGAAGAGGUCAUGAAAUAUGACUCCCCAUGGAUAGAGAGGCCUCUCACUGUUGUGGCCUUUCCCAUUGCGGAGCACAGGCUUCAGACACACAGGCUCAGUGGCCAUGGCUUAUGGACCCAGCCGCUCCGCGGCAUGUGGGAUCUUCCUGGACCGGGGCGCGAACCCGUGUCCCCUGCAUCGGCAGGCGGACUCUCAACCACUACACCACCAGUACACAGGCCUCUCACUGUUGUGACCUCUCCUGUUGCAGAGCACAGGCUCCAGACGCGCAGACUCAGUGGCCAUGGCUCAAGGGCCCAGCCGCUCCACAGCGUGUGGGAUCUUCCCGGACCGGGGCACGAACCCAUGUCCCCUGCAUCAGUAGGCAGACUCUCAACCACUGCACCAACAGGGAAGCCCCACAAACUUUUCUUUUUAAAGCCUAUAGAUCUUUGUGAGAAAUAAUCAAUUGUGAUAUCUAUGUAUCUGUAUCUAUCUAUCUAUCUAUCUAUAUAC
Mesoplodon densirostris (Blainville's beaked whale) is the source of this 812-nucleotide long non-coding RNA. RefSeq lists it as uncharacterized. The record is from RefSeq and is a predicted model, not a curated record. The transcript is spliced from 4 exons. NCBI's taxonomy places the organism in Eukaryota, Metazoa, Chordata, Mammalia, Artiodactyla, Ziphiidae.